This 468-nucleotide ribosomal RNA is filed under the name uncultured bacterium. Its description in RNAcentral is "partial 16S ribosomal RNA". It matches the Rfam family "Bacterial small subunit ribosomal RNA", at positions 28 to 507 of the family's 1533-position model. The record is from RNAcentral.
GACGAACGCUGGCGGCGUGCUUAACACAUGCAAGUCGAACGGAAAGGCCCUGCUUUUGUGGGGUGCUCGAGUGGCGAACGGGUGAGUAACACGUGAGUAACCUGCCCUUGACUUUGGGAUAACUUCAGGAAACUGGGGCUAAUACCGGAUAGGAGCUCCUGCUGCAUGGUGGGGGUUGGAAAGUUUCGGCGGUUGGGGAUGGACUCGCGGCUUAUCAGCUUGUUGGUGGGGUAGUGGCUUACCAAGGCUUUGACGGGUAGCCGACCUGUGAGGGUGACCGGCGACCAGGGGACUGCGAGAGGGCCCAGAGUGCAACGGGAGGCAGCAGUGGGGAAUAUUACACAAUGGGCGGAAGCCUGAUGCAGAAACGCCGCGUGCGGGAUGACGGCCUUCGGGUUGUAAACCGCUUUCGCCUGUGACGAAGCGUGAGUGACGGUAAUGGAUAAAGAAGCACCGGCUAACUACGUG